This 510-nucleotide ribosomal RNA is filed under the name uncultured bacterium. RNAcentral's name for it is "partial 16S ribosomal RNA". It matches the Rfam family "Bacterial small subunit ribosomal RNA", at positions 28 to 507 of the family's 1533-position model. The record is from RNAcentral.
GACGAACGCUGGCGGCGUGCUUAACACAUGCAAGUCGAACGAAGAGCGACGGAAGCUUGCUUCUAUCAAUCUUAGUGGCGAACGGGUGAGUAACGCGUAAUCAACCUGCCCUUCAGAGGGGGACAACAGUUGGAAACGACUGCUAAUACCGCAUACGAUCUAAUCUCGGCAUCGAGGAUGGAUGAAAGGUGGCCUCUACAUGUAAGCUAUCACUGAAGGAGGGGAUUGCGUCUGAUUAGCUAGUUGGAGGGGUAACGGCCCACCAAGGCGAUGAUCAGUAGCCGGUCUGAGAGGAUGAACGGCCACAUUGGGACUGAGACACGGCCCAGACUCCUACGGGAGGCAGCAGUGGGGAAUCUUCCGCAAUAGACGAAAGUCUGACGGAGCAACGCCGCGUGAGUGAUGACGGCCUUCGGGUUGUAAAGCUCUGUUAAUCGGGACGAAAGGCCUUCUUGCGAAUAGUGAGAAGGAUUGACGGUACCGGAAUAGAAAGCCACGGCUAACUACGCG